UACGUAGGGUGCGAGCGUUAAUCGGAAUUACUGGGCGUAAAGCGUGCGCAGGCGGUUCGUUAAGACAGAUGUGAAAUCCCCGGGCUUAACCUGGGAACUGCAUUUGUGACUGGCGAGCUAGAGUAUGGCAGAGGGGGGUAGAAUUCCACGUGUAGCAGUGAAAUGCGUAGAGAUGUGGAGGAAUACCGAUGGCGAAGGCAGCUCCCUGGGCCAAUACUGACGCUCAUGCACGAAAGCGUGGGGAGCAAACAGG
Molecule: ribosomal RNA, 253 nt
Filed under: uncultured bacterium
Lineage: Bacteria
Description: partial 16S ribosomal RNA
Rfam family: Bacterial small subunit ribosomal RNA
Source: RNAcentral